This 254-nucleotide ribosomal RNA is filed under the name uncultured bacterium. RNAcentral's name for it is "partial 16S ribosomal RNA". It matches the Rfam family "Bacterial small subunit ribosomal RNA", at positions 524 to 776 of the family's 1533-position model. The record is from RNAcentral.
UACGUAGGGAGCAAGCGUCGUCCGGAUUUAUUGGGCGUAAAGAGCUCGUAGGCGGUUCGGUAAGUCGGGUGUGAAAACUCUGGGCUCAACCCGGAGAGGCCACCCGAUACUGCUGUGACUUGAGUCUGGUAGGGGAGCACGGAAUUCCUGGUGUAGCGGUGAAAUGCACAGAUAUCAGGAGGAACACCGGUGGCGAAGGCGGUGCUCUGGGCCAGUACUGACGCUGAGGAGCGAAAGCGUGGGGAGCGAACAGG